GACGAACGCUGGCGGCGUGCUUAACACAUGCAAGUCGAACGGAAAGGCCCUGCUUUUGUGGGGUGCUCGAGUGGCGAACGGGUGAGUAACACGUGAGUAACCUGCCCUUGACUUUGGGAUAACUCCUGGAAACUGGGGCUAUUAUCGGAUAGGAGCUCCUGCUGCAUGGGGGGGGUUGGAAAGUUUCGGCGGUUGGGGAUGGACUCGCGGGUUAUCAGCUUGUUGGUGGGGUAGUGGCUUACCAAGGCUUUGACGGGUAGCCGGCCUGAGAGGGUGACCGGCCACAUUGGGACUGAGAUACGGCCCAGACUCCUACGGGAGGCAGCAGUGGGGAAUAUUGCACAAUGGGCGGAAGCCUGAUGCAGCAACGCCGCGUGCGGGAUGACGGCCUUCGGGUUGUAAACCGCUUUCGCCUGUGACGAAGCGUGAGUGACGGUAAUGGGUCAAGAAGCACCGGCUAACUACGUG
Molecule: ribosomal RNA, 468 nt
Filed under: uncultured bacterium
Lineage: Bacteria
Description: partial 16S ribosomal RNA
Rfam family: Bacterial small subunit ribosomal RNA
Source: RNAcentral